AGCUUUAAGUUUGAUUCUUGCUUAUAAUUUUUAUAUUAUGAUUAAAAAAUACAUGAAAAUUAUAGUGUUCCUUUAUAUUAAAAAUUAAAAAUUAUAUAUAAUAUAAGUCUCAGUAUUUAAUUUUAAAUAUUAAUUAAAAUUAGAAUUGGUAAUCAUUUUAAUCCUGACUAAAAUUUGUGCCAGCAGUCGCGGUUAUACUUAAGGGGUAAAUAAAUACAAUUUGGUAUUAUAGUAAAUUAUUAGUUAAAUAAAAUUUAUUAUUUUUUUUAAAGGGUGAAAUCGGAGUUUAAUUAUAAUAAUAAUUUUAAAACCAAAACAAAAAUAGACUAUAAAUUUUAAUAUAUAAACUAGGAUUAGAUACCCCC
Molecule: ribosomal RNA, 365 nt
Filed under: Lopholithodes mandtii
Lineage: Eukaryota; Metazoa; Arthropoda; Malacostraca; Decapoda; Lithodidae
Description: partial 12S ribosomal RNA
Source: RNAcentral